GUUGAAUUAGCUCAGUUGGUUAGAGUCUCUCCCUGAUACGGAGAUGGUCCGUGGUUCGAAUCCACGAUUCAACA
Transfer RNA from Pedobacter nyackensis, 74 nucleotides. It matches the Rfam family "tRNA". From Rfam's summary of the family: Transfer RNA (tRNA) molecules are approximately 80 nucleotides in length. Their secondary structure includes four short double-helical elements and three loops (D, anti-codon, and T loops). Lineage: Bacteria; Pseudomonadati; Bacteroidota; Sphingobacteriia; Sphingobacteriales; Sphingobacteriaceae. The record is from Rfam.